UAGUCCACGCCGUAAACGAUGGUCACUAGCUGUUUGGACUUCGGUCUGAGUGGCUAAGCGAAAGUGAUAAGUGACCCACCUGGGGAGUACGUUCGCAAGAAUGAAACUCAAAGGAAUUGACGGGGGCCCGCACAAGCGGUGGAGCAUGUGGUUUAAUUCGAUGAUACGCGAGGAACCUUACCAGGGCUUAAAUGUAGAGUGACAGAUCUAGAGAUAGAUUUUUCUUCGGACACUUUACAAGGUGCUGCAUGGUUGUCGUCAGCUCGUGCCGUGAGGUGUCAGGUUAAGUCCUAUAACGAGCGCAACCCCUGUUGUUAGUUGGCAGCAUGUUAUGAUGGGGACUCUAGCGGGACUGCCGGUGCAAACCGAGAGGAAGGUGGGGAUGACGUCAAAUCAUCACGGCCCUUACGUCCUGGGCUACACACGUGCUACAAUGGUCAGUACAGAGGGCAGCCACUACGCGAGUAGGAGCGAAUCCUUAAAACUGAUCUCAGUUCGGAUCGG
RNAcentral lists this ribosomal RNA (504 nucleotides) under uncultured bacterium. Its description in RNAcentral is "bacterial SSU rRNA". It matches the Rfam family "Bacterial small subunit ribosomal RNA", at positions 791 to 1301 of the family's 1533-position model. The record is from RNAcentral.